UUUGGGUAAUGUAGUUUUAGGGGUUCAAAAAUGUCUAAAUAUACAACUAUAAUUGCCUAAUAAUUAAAAUGAUUAUUUUAUUGAUACAUUUUGUUUUUUCAUUAUCUAUAUUUACCAGACAACACCUUCUGGAGAACCAGAUCCUAUAAUGAGGAAUACAGAAACUUCUUCAGUGUUAACCAACAUAACAUUAUAAACAAGGCUAGUCUCUCAUCUCUGCAAAGAAGUGGGAUAAGAGCAACAUGCAAAAGUAAGGAUGUAACAUUGCAAGAAAACAUCAUUGACAAAGAUAGUUGAAAA
RNAcentral lists this long non-coding RNA (300 nucleotides) under Monodelphis domestica (gray short-tailed opossum). Its description in RNAcentral is "lncRNA (ENSMODG00000030143.2)". Lineage: Eukaryota; Metazoa; Chordata; Mammalia; Didelphimorphia; Didelphidae. The record is from RNAcentral.